GACACAUGGGAGUGUGUGUGUUACUGUUCGGAUGAGGCUUCUUGAUUUGAUGCAUUUUUAGUGGCCUAUCAGCCUCCAAGGAAGUCAGAACUGCUCAUCAAAGCACUUUAACGGGGAGAAAGAGGGAAAGGUGGGGAGUGGAACUUCUGCUGUCAUGAACCUGCUGUGGCAACACACAACUCGUCUGGCUUCGGGAGCAGGACAUGAGGAAGGGAGCCAUUAAAAAUCAAGGAAACCACUACAGUAAAUGAGAGCUGCCCAUGUCUUCAGUGCCUCCACCCACGCAUCUUCACACCCUCGUGCAGUCACAGGCUGUUCAUCUCUCCAGCAAGUUCCCUUUCUCUCCCCACCUCUCAGUCCAGCAGCCUGAUUUCUUUGAAUGAUGCUCAUGGCAUGAAAAUAGCUGUAGCUGCAGAGAGCUGGUAUUUCCACAAGAUUAUGGACACGUUCUUGUCUGGUGAGCCAGAGGCAGGGUUAAACUGGAGUGUGUUUUAGAGGAACUGAAAGUGUGCUGUAGGCACUUGUUUAUGGUAAGUGAGACAUUUGCUAAAAAAGGUGGAUAGUCUGUGAGUCAACACCUUUACGCUGCAUCCUGGUUCCUGGAGCGGCUGGUGCGUCAGGAGCUGGUAGCUGCCAGGCUGCGCAGGAAGGGCUGCCCUGUCGCUUCUCUCGUGAUGAAGAACAAACUGCUUUUCACACAGAU
RNAcentral lists this long non-coding RNA (703 nucleotides) under Apteryx rowi (Okarito brown kiwi). Its description in RNAcentral is "lncRNA (ENSARWG00000010281.1)". Lineage: Eukaryota; Metazoa; Chordata; Aves; Apterygiformes; Apterygidae. The record is from RNAcentral.